AUCCAACUGACGAGUACCAAAUAGGACGAAAUGCGCGUCCUGGAU
This 45-nucleotide non-coding RNA is filed under the name Trichobilharzia regenti. Lineage: Eukaryota; Metazoa; Platyhelminthes; Trematoda; Strigeidida; Schistosomatidae. The record is from RNAcentral.